This 222-nucleotide long non-coding RNA is filed under the name Homo sapiens (human). RNAcentral describes it as "HSALNT0341049". The record is from RNAcentral. Lineage: Eukaryota; Metazoa; Chordata; Mammalia; Primates; Hominidae.
AUAGGCCACAAAGCGCUCCAAAUGUCCACUUGCAGAUUCCAGAAAAAGAGUGUUUCCAAACUGCUCAAUGAAAAGAAAGGUUCAACUCUGUGUGAUGAACGCGCAUAUCACAAAGAGGUUUUUCAGAAUUCUUCUGUCUAGUUUUAAUGUGAAGAUAUUUCCUUUUCCACCAUAGGCCUCAAAGCACUCCAAAUGUCCAAUUGCAGAUUCUACAAAAAGAGU